GGAGUUGUAACUCAGUGGUAAAGUACUUGCCUAACAUGCAUGAGACACUGGGUUUGAUCCCCAACACCA
This 69-nucleotide transfer RNA is filed under the name Marmota monax (woodchuck). It matches the Rfam family "tRNA". Rfam says of the family: Transfer RNA (tRNA) molecules are approximately 80 nucleotides in length. Their secondary structure includes four short double-helical elements and three loops (D, anti-codon, and T loops). Lineage: Eukaryota; Metazoa; Chordata; Mammalia; Rodentia; Sciuridae. The record is from Rfam by way of RNAcentral.